ACAUUUCCCAGCCCAAAGUCUGGACAGUCCAACACUGGUGCGGUCCUCCUGCUUCACAGUCCCACGCUGCCCCAGUCCAAGACGCCAUUUGUGGACAGCCCCAUUUUGGAGGGGUAGGGCUGGGGCCAGUGCCGGUGCCCCUGGAACACUGCCACUGCUCUCUGGGUGCCGUGGGGGCCAGUGAGGAGCCCAGGGCUGCAGGGAGCCAUGUUCAUCGGCUGCGGCCACGUCUCCUGCUGCACCAAGUGGGCCGCUUUCUUGGUCCGCUCCCACUUGGGUGUGAUGGGCACCCAGUCCUCGUGCUGGCCACUGCGCUGACACAGCCAGCUUCACCUAGCGUGGCUGUUGGUGGGCUGGAACACCCUGGCACAGCAGCAGCUUCCUCUUCCUGGCUGGGAUGCUGCCAGGGUGCUGCUUGCGCCCGCUACUCUUGCCUUUUGUGCCGGCGCAGGCGGGCGUUGGGCGCUUGGCCGGCUCGGUGUCGUCCCCAUGCUGCGUGCUUGCCACGCGGCAGGAGACGCAGCUGGGUGGAAGUGCCAAGCAGCUGAGAACCACGCGGGGCUGCUUCUGCCGUGCCUCUUCCAUGAGUUGUCCAGUGUGCACCAAAGGAGGCACGCAAUGCUUGGCCGGCUUGGUGCUGUCCCCGUGCUGCUGGUCUGCCACGUGGCAGGAGACACAGCAGGGUGGAAGUGCCAGGCGGCUGAGGACCACACGGGGCUGCCUGCGCCGUGCCUCUUCCAUGAGAUGUGCCGUGCGGGGCGAAGGAGGCGUGGGGGCAGCCAGGGAGCUCAGCAGGGACAGGUGUGGAGGUGUGACGGGGGCCAGCAGCAAAGGGCUGCGGGGCAGCAGCUCAGAGAGCUGACCAGGGGAUGCUGGCUGCCCCCAGAAUGGGUCGCUGAGGGUCCCGGUGGCAGCCUGUGUCUCUUUGCUGAGCUCCCUGCUGCUCCUGGGGAAGUCAGGGAGCUCUGCGAUGAAAGGAGAUGAGUCCAGACUGCUGGGGACAUCCAGGCUCGGUGGCUCCGUGGCUGCGAUCCACCUCCUCAGCUCUUCAUGGUCACGGCUGUCCAGUUCCCGCAGCAGCUGCUUCCCAAGAUUUUCCUCUUGCACCGUGGCAGCAUCUCUGCUCUCCUCCCUUGGGACAACAGGCAGGUCCUGGUUCUCCUGCGGGACCUCCAGAGUGCUCAGCUCUUCGGAAAAAGCAAGAACAUCCCAAGAAUGACGAUGGCAGCCUUCCCACAGCCUCUCUCUGCAGACACCCACCCACCAGCUCCACAGCCCCCACACUCACCCUCGCUGAUCCAUGUGAGCACAUGGCCCAUUUCCACGUUGUCGUCCAGAAUGUCAGUGCUCGCUGUCGCUCCUGGGAAAGGAAGAAAAUGCCCAGCAGGGCAAUGCCAGCUGUUGCUCACCCACUCAGUGCAGACACCCGCUUGCCAGUUCUUCGUCGCCCACACUCACCCUCGUUGAUCCAGCUGAGCAGAUCAUCGACGUCUGCGAAGCCAUCCGCAGUAUCUGCGCCAGUCGUUGCAUCUGGAAAAAAGAAGAAAAUGCCCAGCGGGGCAAUGCCAGCUUUCCUGCAGCCCCGUGCAGUAGACAGCCUGCCUCCUGCCCUGCAGCCCCUGAACUCACCGCCUGAUUGCAGCAUGGCUGCGCUGCAGUUUUUGCUCCUGGACGAACAGAAGUGAUGAGGAAUGGUUGUGGAUACAAGGAACUUGAAGGAAUCCACCUUGUUCAGACCAGCUCAGCCCUCAGAAGAUGCUGUCUGCCCCAGUUUCUGCAGAGCUUCACACUAUGGGCCAGGGGCACAAGCACGCAUAUGUGCACCUGACAACUGCAGGGAGCUUGCUUUGCAAAAGCAAAAGAAUUCAGAGGUCAGCUGGCGCUAGAAGUGGACGGCAUCCAGUGUGAAUGAAGGUCAGUGCAGGAGCAGCUGCUGCUGGGAGGAAGGAAGUGCAGGCUGAUGGACGCUUACACUUCUCCUGGUACGGCACCAGAGGAGGCAGCAGUGAUGCUGGGGAGCAGUUGCUGAAGAACACGAGGAACUCCUCAGCAGGAAGCCACAGACCCUGCAGAAAGCUGCAGCAGACUCAGAGCACGCGUGGAUGCCCAGGAGGAAAUGCAGGCCCAGCGUUUGAGCAGCGCCUGGCCACGGAGUGCUGCGGCCCAAGAACAAAGCUGUUGUGCCUUUGCCCAGAUGGCUUCCCACAGUGGAAUUGUCUGUCCUCAUGAAAACCAGAGGGCUGACUCAUCCGAAUGCUGGCUGACUGCUUGGAAGCCCAAAUCCUUCUGGCCUCCAAUCUGGGGGCAGCCUGGGUGCAACAUCUCCUGGGUCUGGUCAUCUUAAUUUCUCUGUUUUGUUACUUCAGAUAACCCCAUUGGGUGGCCGUCGUGUUGUCUUCUUAAAAUUUGGUGCCAGGCCUGGUGACUUUGGGCCAGAGCCCAAAAGGCUGCAUCCAGCCCAGGGGCUCACAGCCACAGCCCCAGUUAGAGAGGCUGGCACACGCCCUGGGCCUAAAGAUGCUAAAGAUGUCCUAAAGGACAUCACAGACAUCCAGGGUUUGCUCUCUUGGAUCAAUGGUGAGUUUGGGGCUGCAGAGCUGCAGGUGUGUGUUUGCACAGAGUAGGUGUGGGAAGGCUCUCAUCACCAUUUGGGGGAUGUUUUUGCAUUUUCAGACGUGGCAAGAGCUGCUGAGGUCCCCCAUGAGAACCCCAGCAGCCCUGCCCCAGGAUGUUUCGUCGCUGAGCUCCCUGACAACCUCCAGGACAGCAGAGAGCUCAGCACACAGGCUGCCACCGGGACACCCACCGACCCUUUCUGGGGGCUUCCUCCAUCCCCUGGGUUCCUGCCUGAGCUGCAGUGCGGGCUGUCGGAGCAGCACCCCGUCAUGCCACCAGCAAGCGCCCGGCUCAGCCCACGGCCAACCACCCUGGCUGUCAGCGCACCUCCCUCAGUGCAAACCGCACAGCCCACUGAGGAGGUGCAGCAAAGGCAGCCCCAGGAGGUUCAGGCUCACUCGCCCCUGUCGCCAGCCUCUGUCCCCAGCCAGGGGGCAGAAAAGAAGAACAGGGGCAGCACCAAGCGGGGGGCCAAGCGCCUUGCGCCUGCCGGCACCCUGCAAAAAGGGGAGAGCUCCCAGCAGGAGCAGCCCACCAGCAGCGCUCCUGCCAAGAAAAGGAAGCUGCCACCCUGCGGGGAAAGAACAGAGAGGAAAGGCUGCAAACAGCCGUGCUAAGCAAAACUGUCUGGGGCCGGCGCAGGAGCCAGCAGCAGCCAAGCGGGCACUGCCAGCGAGCUGCACAAGCACCUGCAGCAAUGCAUCCAGGCCGUGCACCCGCUGGGGCAGAGGGUGACUGCGGUGGGCCCAGUGCGCCAGCCACCCUCUGUGCAGCCCCAACCCUCAGCCAGCGCUGGCCCUGCUGCCCUCCAGCCCCAAGACAGCCAUGCAGACAAGGCAGCGCCGGCAUCUCCAGGCAUCACAGUGCAGGAGGAGGGCGCUGCCAAGAAGGCGCCGCCGA
This is a long non-coding RNA of Lagopus leucura (white-tailed ptarmigan), 3516 nucleotides long. RefSeq lists it as uncharacterized. NCBI's taxonomy places the organism in Eukaryota, Metazoa, Chordata, Aves, Galliformes, Phasianidae. The record is from RefSeq and is a predicted model, not a curated record. The transcript has 4 exons.